Molecule: transfer RNA, 97 nt
Filed under: Nitrososphaeria archaeon
Lineage: Archaea; Thermoproteati; Nitrososphaerota; Nitrososphaeria
Description: tRNA-Ile
Rfam family: tRNA
About the family: Transfer RNA (tRNA) molecules are approximately 80 nucleotides in length. Their secondary structure includes four short double-helical elements and three loops (D, anti-codon, and T loops).
Source: RNAcentral
GGGCCGGUAGCUCAGCUUGGUCAGAGACCGCCGAUCAGGCGGCUGGAACGUCUGACUGAUAAUCAGAAGGUCAGGAGUCCGAAUCUCCUCCGGCCCA